CAGGAAACAAAAUAUAGACAUCUGUUUAUUUCAUGUCCAUUUGUCUUGGCUGAAUGUGAGAGACCUUGGGGACAAGGUUGCCAGCAGCAAAGGAGAGUACAGAUUUUUCUGGUCUGUAGUCUAUGGGCAGGCAGAGAGGCAGAAAUGUAAGGCACUGACACUCCUAUGCCUCUUGUGAGAUGAAUUCCUUUAUUCUGUUAAAAAAAAAAAAAAAAAAAAAGUGUAGAACAAUGUUCAUUGUAGUAUCAGCAGACAGGGCUGGAGACAUUAAAUACCUCCUUUUGCUUCCCAGCAACAGAGUCCUGCAGCAAGGGAUCAUCCCCAAAUCACUGCCCCUGCAAGAGAAGUGUUCCAUGCAUUUCUCUGCCUGACUUUCUCCCUGUGGAAGUACUGCUAUUUGAAGCAGAUUGCAUUAAACAAUUUGUUCUGCUCUUACUGCAGUAAUGUUUCAUCUACAUAGCUUAAUAUUUCUCAUGCAAGAUUUCCAGAUGCCCUGUGUCUCAAUUCAACAACGUUGAGACAAGCCUCACAGCCAGAACGUAGCCUAAACAUACGGACAUAACGACGGUGGAUCUCUGGCUUUCAGCAUCUUUGCAGUGGCUCUCCUCACUCUGCAAUUCUACUCCCAGCACCAAAAUCUGUCGCUGAAAUAUGAGCUUUGAUGACACAGUGCCUACCAUCGCAAUAUGAAAACAACCGGCUUCUCUGGGAGCCACAUAGGAGUGUACAUUUCAGUGUUUCUCAGUGAUUUUUCAACUGAAAAUAGUAGGCAAAAGUAUUAUAUGUUGAGUGUAGAACAUUGCCACCUACAAAAAUUUCUUUCUUUUUUUUUUUUAAAUCUUCAAUAGAAUGCAUUAUAAAUAAAUGAAUUCAUUUUCCUUGUGAAGCCUCAGUACUAAUACUGUCCCUUCAUGAGACACUGAUAGAAAGUAAAUGUGUAUGACGAUUGAAAUAAGCUUUGCUAAAACACAGAGGAUUCUAUUUUUUCAUUUUCUCACCAAAUCUGACUUCACCUGCUUUAAGACAAACAACUCACCAUCUCUAAUCAAAGACUUUUUUAAAAUUAUUUUUCAGAUGUAAAGCUCUCAGUUCACAAUGUGAUGAAUCCAGGCGGUGCCUCUCUCCACUGUGUCUGGCACUAGCAGUGUUUUCUUUCCUGCUCAGCCUCCAGCAGAAUUCUUAUUGACUAUUUUAGUAGCUUUGACUUCAGGGACUGGUGUAUUAUUCUCGACUCUAAGGAAAAAUAGAGAGUUUAUAGCAGAGGGCUCUGGGGACCUGCAUUCAGCACCCUGCCACAUCACAGGUACUUGUUACACAGAUGCUACUAUAUCGGUUUUCUUCCUUCUGCCUACAUUUUCUGCCUGUAAAAGAAGAAAGAUGUGGUUAUCAUCAUUAAGCUGGAGAAGAGCUAUCAAUUAGAGCAAGAGACUGCAGUGAGGAAAUCCGUACAAGCACCAUGCAGUAAGUUAGAACAAACACAUUUCUUCCUAUUUGCCAUUCUGUUCCUGCGUCCAGUAACUACAGAGGCUCCUGAGGAAAACAGGAAUGCAGCUGCCUUCUCACUUCAAGUGAGAUCAUUCAGAUCAGUAGGCAAAGGAAAUAAACAGCUGAGAGAGCACUGAAGUGGAGGUUAUGUUUCCUUUGGAGCUGCUGUUUACAUCAUGUAUGCUGCAGAAGAUGCUUAUUUACUCCCUUUAGAAUAGCUCUUGCACUCAGAGAGAUUUCUGUUGUGUUGCUGUUACAGCCCUCAGAGAGCAGGAAGAACUAUCCUUUUCUCACAUUUAGCUUUGAGAAGCCAUUCCAGGUUCAGGCCAUCUUUAAUGCAGCCCCUCUCUUGGCAACAGGAGAAUCCGUACCACUGCCUUCCUUCCAAUUUUUUAGGAAUUAUGAUAUAUGUUUUUUAAGAUCUUUUUGUGCUGUUAAAAAAAAUAGCCACAUGAUCUCCUAAUGAGUGGAGUAAUUGUUUCAGAGGCAGAAGUAAAACAUGCUACAUAUCGUAUCUUUCACUCACUUGCAUUUUCCCCUCCCUUGAGAUUUUUUUCGAGUCGAGCACACAGCAAUUCAGCCUUUGCAGGUAUUUUCUCCCCUAAUCUUUGUUGCUGCUGAAACCACCAGUGCAAAUCAGAAAUGCUGUAACACGGUCCUUUGUUUAGCUUACUUGUUGCACAUGAAGCCAAUGAAAAUGCAGGAUCAAAAAGAAACUUUCCCAAGUAUGGACAUUGACAGCUAAUGGAGUAUUAAUCAGGCAUCUUCCAUCUCACAGCCACCACCUUGUCAAGAAUGUCAUGAGGACAAGAUAGCUCUGACAGCAUCAUUCCUCUGUCAUAUUUGCAGCUGAUGAAUGGAUCCAGUAGUUAUUAAGUGAGACUGACAGACAGAAUGAUCAUCCAAGCCUCAUUUCCUGAAGAAGCCAGGCUAAAAAUUGUUCAGGUGGUGGGAAAUGCAUGUCAUUUCUUCAGAAUCUCCAAUGUACAGGAAGCCACCUUCACUUUAACACAUACUGAAGAUGAGCUUGAUCUACCUCACCACAGUGAAGAUGAGCUCAGUUUACCUCAAUCAGGAGGAAUCAGAUAAUCCUUCUGCUGACUUUGCUGCAGGAUAAUAUUUUCUAGGGCAGAAGUGCAUCAGGCAACCAAGAGGAACCAACAUCUAAAUCCACUAGAAAGUGAUUUUCUGAAGGCAGUAUAUUGUAGUCUUAAUUUCAGAGUUAUUCCUUGUUGGACUGUUAGAUUAAAAGACAACACUGGGAAAAUAUCAUAAUAUCCCAUAAAUUUACAUCUAAUAUGCAUGUUAAUUAGCAUUGCUAUUAUUUCAAUGUAGCUCCAUGGUUUUGUAAAUUUAUCAUAAUAGUACAUCAAUUCAUUAUAAUAUAUUUUAAUGUCUAAAACAGAGUUCUCCAAGGUUGGGAGGGUUGUUUACUGCUUCCUCGGUGUCAAAACCUUGUCCGGUAUACCUCACAGUAGGGUUAAGUGUUAACUCUUCCAGUGACAGCAAGUUGCCUCAUGGCAUGGCUGUAUCUGUGAUGCUUAUUGGUAACUUGAAGUUCCUGGAUAACAGAUGUUGUUUCCUGUUCAUCAUGUCCUAUGGGAAAUUACAUUUCAUAAGUUCAUUCUCUCCGUGGCUUUGUUUUGGAUUGGAAACAAAAUAAUUGGAAGGUUGGAUAAAAUUGUGUUGUAAGAAAGUUAAGUUUUUGUCUGUUCAAUACAUUUAUCU
This is a long non-coding RNA of Gallus gallus (chicken), 3213 nucleotides long. The record is from Ensembl. Lineage: Eukaryota; Metazoa; Chordata; Aves; Galliformes; Phasianidae.